GCUGGCUGCAACUGUUUAUUAAAAACACAGCACUCUGCAAACACGAAAGUGGACGUAUAGGGUGUGAUGCCUGCCCGGUGCUGGAAGGUUAAUUGAUGGUGUAAUCGCAAGAGAAGCACCUGAUCGAAGCCCCAGUAAACGGCGGCCGUAACUAUAACGGUCCUAAGGUAGCGAAAUUCCUUGUCGGGUAAGUUCCGACCUGCACGAAUGGCAUAAUGAUGGCCAGGCUGUCUCCACCCGAGACUCAGUGAAAUUGAAAUCGCCGUGAAGAUGCGGUGUACCCGCGGCUAGACGGAAAGACCCCGUGAACCUUUACUAUAGCUUGACACUGAACAUUGAAUUUUGAUGUGUAGGAUAGGUGGGAGCCUUUGAAGCAGUGACGCCAGUCAUUGUGGAGGCGAGCUUGAAAUACCACCCUUUAACGUUUGAUGUUCUAACGAAGAUGACGAAACGUGGUCUCGGACAGUGUCUGGUGGGUAGUUUGACUGGGGCGGUCUCCUCCCAAAGCGUAACGGAGGAGCACGAAGGUUUGCUAAUCACGGUCGGACAUCGUGAGGUUAGUGCAAUGGUAUAAGCAAGCUUAACUGCGAGACAGACAAGUCGAGCAGGUACGAAAGUAGGUCAUAGUGAUCCGGUGGUUCUGAAUGGAAGGGCCAUCGCUCAACGGAUAAAAGGUACUCCGGGGAUAACAGGCUGAUACCGCCCAAGAGUUCAUAUCGACGGCGGUGUUUGGCACCUCGAUGUCGGCUCAUCACAUCCUGGGGCUGAAGUAGGUCCCAAGGGUAUGGCUGUUCGCCAUUUAAAGUGGUACGCGAGCUGGGUUUAGAACGUCGUGAGACAGUUCGGUCCCUAUCUGCCGUGGGCGUAGGAGAAUUGGUUGGGGCUGCUCCUAGUACGAGAGGACCGGAGUGGACGCACCACUGGUGUUCCGGUUGUGUCGCCAGACGCAUUGCCGGGUAGCUAAGUGCGGAAGAGAUAAGUGCUGAAAGCAUCUAAGCACGAAACUUGCCAAGAGAUGAGUUCUCCCAAUCUAAGAGAUAGUAAGGGUUGUUGUAGACUACGACGUAGAUAGGUCUGGUGUGUAAGUGUAGUGAUACAUUGAGCUAACAGAUACUAAUUGCCCGAGAGGCUUAACUAUACAACGCUCAAG
RNAcentral lists this ribosomal RNA (1150 nucleotides) under Haemophilus influenzae. RNAcentral's name for it is "bacterial LSU rRNA". It matches the Rfam family "Bacterial large subunit ribosomal RNA", at positions 1789 to 2925 of the family's 2925-position model. The record is from RNAcentral. Lineage: Bacteria; Pseudomonadati; Pseudomonadota; Gammaproteobacteria; Pasteurellales; Pasteurellaceae.